Molecule: ribosomal RNA, 433 nt
Filed under: uncultured bacterium
Lineage: Bacteria
Description: partial 16S ribosomal RNA
Rfam family: Bacterial small subunit ribosomal RNA
Source: RNAcentral
AACGAACGCUGGCGGCAUGCCUAACACAUGCAAGUCGAACGAGACCUUCGGGUCUAGUGGCGCACGGGUGCGUAACGCGUGGGAACCUGCCCUUAGGUUCGGAAUAACUCCCCGAAAGGGGUGCUAAUACCGGAUAAUGUCUUCGGCCCAAAGAUUUAUCGCCUUUGGUUGGGCCCGCGUUGGAUUAGCUAGUUGGUAGGGUAAAAGCCUACCAAGGCGACGAUCCAUAGCUGGUUUGAGAGGAUGAUCAGCAACACUGGGACUAGGACACGGCCCAGACUCCUACGGGAGGCAGCAGUGGGGAAUAUUGGACAAUGGGCGAAAGCCUGAUCCAGCAAUGCCGCGUGAGUGAUGAAGGCCUUAGGGUUGUAAAGCUCUUUUACCCGGGAUGAUAAUGACAGUACCGGGAGAAUAAGCUCCGGCUAACUCCGUG